Molecule: long non-coding RNA, 659 nt
Filed under: Equus asinus (donkey)
Lineage: Eukaryota; Metazoa; Chordata; Mammalia; Perissodactyla; Equidae
Description: lncRNA (ENSEASG00005038529.1)
Source: RNAcentral
GAAUGAAGAAGGAAGUGUGGUCACAGAUAACUUGGAGGCUUCUGACGUGGGUCCUGAAUGGAAAGUGAUGUUAUAGAUUGCAAUAGAGAACAGAGAAGGAGUAGCUGGGAGGGAAAACUAUGAGUUUUGUUUUGCAUAUCCUCAGAUCUGAAGUCCAACAGGGCAUCCAAGAGUAAAGGUGGAGAUGAAAUAUAGGUCUGAGGUCAGGAGAGAUUCAGCUGGAGCUGUGACUGGAGAGUGUUGUUGAAGCCUGGAGCCUGAAGGCCAUCUCCCAGCAUGGAGAGGAGACGAAAGAGGGCUGAGGACCGAACCCUGGGAACGCCGUCCCCCAGCCGUGUAAGGAGAAGGAAGAGAGCACUGCCUGAUGGAGAAAGAGCAUUACAGGGAGCCUCAGAAGUGUAAUUGCCUGCCUUUCCUCUACUUCCCUGCUGGCAGAGGUGCUUUUGAUGGACAAAGUGCUUCAGACGCAGUAGGAAAAGAACAAGGGCUGUCCAGAAGAAUGUCAGUCUGAGAUAAAUCGCAUGUCAGGAAGAGAAAAUCCACUGUGUUAAGAACCAUGAAAUCUGUAGGCCCAGACAAAUUAUGUCCUAGGAUGUGGGUUGCAAACUUUUUAGUAGUAUAACUUUUUCAGACAAAUUUUAUAUGAACCCUAAUUUUAA